GUAGCUCAGUGGUAGAGUGCUUGCCUUGCAUGCAUGAGGCUCUGGGUUCAAUUUCUCAGC
RNAcentral lists this transfer RNA (60 nucleotides) under Dipodomys ordii (Ord's kangaroo rat). It matches the Rfam family "tRNA", at positions 7 to 64 of the family's 71-position model. From Rfam's summary of the family: Transfer RNA (tRNA) molecules are approximately 80 nucleotides in length. Their secondary structure includes four short double-helical elements and three loops (D, anti-codon, and T loops). The record is from Rfam by way of RNAcentral. Lineage: Eukaryota; Metazoa; Chordata; Mammalia; Rodentia; Heteromyidae.